RNAcentral lists this ribosomal RNA (407 nucleotides) under uncultured bacterium. Its description in RNAcentral is "partial 16S ribosomal RNA". It matches the Rfam family "Bacterial small subunit ribosomal RNA", at positions 355 to 774 of the family's 1533-position model. The record is from RNAcentral.
UGGGGAAUAUUGCACAAUGGGCGGAAGCCUGAUGCAGCAACGCCGCGUGCGGGAUGACGGCCUUCGGGUUGUAAACCGCUUUCGCCUGUGACGAAGCGUGAGUGACGGUAAUGGGUAAAGAAGCACCGGCUAACUACGUGCCAGCAGCCGCGGUGAUACGUAGGGUGCGAGCGUUGUCCGGAUUUAUUGGGCGUAAAGGGCUCGUAGGUGGUUGAUCGCGUCGGAAGUGUAAUCUUGGGGCUUAACCCGGAGCGUGCUUUCGAUACGGGUUGACUUGAGGAAGGUAGGGGAGAAUGGAAUUCCUGGUGGAGCGGUGGAAUGCGCAGAUAUCAGGAGGAACACCAGUGGCGAAGGCGGUUCUCUGGGCCUUUCCUGACGCUGAGGAGCGAAAGCGUGGGGAGCGAACA